AAGGGGAAGCCAAAAAAUUCUUACUCAUUGUGUUUUGUUAUUAUGUUCUGUAUGUGCUAUAGAUCUAUAAUUGCAAAUACUGAUAGGUUACUGUCUUACUAUAUGGAUGCCUUAUUUUUUUAUUUUAACAGGUUUUGUUUAACUGGAGUUAGAAGUAUGAUAGUAGGUGUCAUGCUGGACAAAAUUGAGUAUCAAACCAUGAUUGGGUUCCUUCAUCUUCAAGGAAAAACUGCACAAACAAGCCACAAAGUGAUGUCGGCUAUGUAUGACAAAGGAUGUCUGUCAUAUGAGACUAUAAGAUGAUGGAAAUGAAAUCUCAAAUAUGGUCAUAUCAACCUACAGGAUGACUCAAGAAGGCUGUCCACCAAGGUCUUGUUGUUUGUAUUUUGGGACAGCAAAGGUAUCAUAUUGAUAAAUAACUUACAAAAAGGGUCAACAGUAAUAGGAAUACUACAGGAACUUGCUAUAAAAGUUACAGGACAAUAUCAAGGAAUAAAGACUGAGUUUGCUGUCAAAAGAUGUGUUGCUGCUAGCUGAUAAUGUACCUGCAUACCAAGCUGCAGAAACAG
Molecule: long non-coding RNA, 569 nt
Filed under: Androctonus crassicauda
Lineage: Eukaryota; Metazoa; Arthropoda; Arachnida; Scorpiones; Buthidae
Source: RNAcentral